CCUACGGGAGGCAGCAGUGGGGAAUAUUGGACAAUGGGCGCAAGCCUGAUCCAGCAAUGCCGCGUGAGUGAUGAAGGCCUUAGGGUUGUAAAGCUCUUUUACCAGGGAUGAUAAUGACAGUACCUGGAGAAUAAGCUCCGGCUAACUCCGUGCCAGCAGCCGCGGUAAUACGGAGGGAGCUAGCGUUGUUCGGAAUUACUGGGCGUAAAGCGUACGUAGGCGGUUAUUCAAGUCAGAGGUGAAAGCCCGGGGCUCAACCCCGGAACUGCCUUUGAAACUAGGUAGCUAGAAUCUUGGAGAGGUCAGUGGAAUUCCGAGUGUAGAGGUGAAAUUCGUAGAUAUUCGGAAGAACACCAGUGGCGAAGGCGACUGACUGGACAAGUAUUGACGCUGAGGUACGAAAGCGUGGGGAGCAAACAGGAUUAGAUACCCUGGUAGUCCACGCCGUAAACGAUGAUAACUAGCUGUCCGGUCACUUGGUGACUGGGUGCGNNGCACNCAUAUAUCGCUGGNGUACGUCGCAGAUAACUACAANAGAUGAGCGNGAGAGUGCGAGCGACGACGAGGAGAG
This 571-nucleotide ribosomal RNA is filed under the name uncultured bacterium. RNAcentral's name for it is "bacterial SSU rRNA". It matches the Rfam family "Bacterial small subunit ribosomal RNA", at positions 338 to 1533 of the family's 1533-position model. The record is from RNAcentral.